AUUGAACGCUGGCGGCAGGCCUAACACAUGCAAGUCGAGCGGAUGAAGGGAGCUUGCUCCUGGAUUCAGCGGCGGACGGGUGAGUAAUGCCUAGGAAUCUGCCUGGUAGUGGGGGAUAACGUCCGGAAACGGGCGCUAAUACCGCAUACGUCCUGAGGGAGAAAGUGGGGGAUCUUCGGACCUCACGCUAUCAGAUGAGCCUAGGUCGGAUUAGCUAGUUGGUGGGGUAAAGGCCUACCAAGGCGACGAUCCGUAACUGGUCUGAGAGGAUGAUCAGUCACACUGGAACGGAGACACGGUCCAGACUCCUACGGGAGGCAGCAGUGGGGAAUAUUGGACAAUGGGCGAAAGCCUGAUCCAGCCAUGCCACGUGUGUGAAGAAGGUCUUCGGAUUGUAAAGCACUUUAAGUUGGGAGGAAGGGCAGUAAGUUAAUACCUUGCUGUUUUGACGUUACCAACAGAAUAAGCACCGGCUAACUUCGUG
RNAcentral lists this ribosomal RNA (484 nucleotides) under uncultured bacterium. RNAcentral's name for it is "partial 16S ribosomal RNA". It matches the Rfam family "Bacterial small subunit ribosomal RNA", at positions 30 to 507 of the family's 1533-position model. The record is from RNAcentral.